AACGAACGCUGGCGGCAUGCCUAACACAUGCAAGUCGAACGAGACCUUCGGGUCUAGUGGCGCACGGGUGCGUAACGCGUGGGAAUCUGCCCCUUGGUUCGGAAUAACUUCGGGAAACUGAAGCUAAUACCGGAUAAUGACGUAAGUCCAAAGAUUUAUCGCCAAGGGAUGAGCCCGCGUAGGAUUAGCUAGUUGGUGGGGUAAAGGCUCACCAAGGCGACGAUCCUUAGCUGGUCUGAGAGGAUGAUCAGCCACACUGGGACUGAGACACGGCCCAGACUCCUACGGGAGGCAGCAGUGGGGAAUAUUGGACAAUGGGCGAAAGCCUGUUCCAGCAAUGCCGCGUGAGUGAUGAAGGCCUUAGGGUUGUAAAGCUCUUUUACCCGGGAAGAUAAUGACUGUACCGGGAGAAUAAGCCCCGGCUAACUCCGUGCCAGCAGCCGCGGUAAU
This 450-nucleotide ribosomal RNA is filed under the name uncultured bacterium. RNAcentral describes it as "bacterial SSU rRNA". It matches the Rfam family "Bacterial small subunit ribosomal RNA", at positions 29 to 524 of the family's 1533-position model. The record is from RNAcentral.